This 446-nucleotide ribosomal RNA is filed under the name uncultured bacterium. Its description in RNAcentral is "partial 16S ribosomal RNA". It matches the Rfam family "Bacterial small subunit ribosomal RNA", at positions 338 to 795 of the family's 1533-position model. The record is from RNAcentral.
CCUACGGGAGGCUGCAGUCGAGAAUCAUUCACAAUGGGGGAAACCCUGAUGGUGCGACGCCGCGUGGGGGAAUGAAGGUCUUCGGAUUGUAAACUCCUGUCAUGUGGGAGCAAAUUAAAAAGAUAGUACCACAAGAGGAAGAGACGGCUAACUCUGUGCCAGCAGCCGCGGUCAUGCAGAGGUCUCAAGCGUUGUUCGGAAUCACUGGUCGUAAAGUGUGCGUAGGCUGUUUCGUAAGUCGUGUGUGAAAGGCGCGGGCUCAACCCGCGGACGGCACAUGAUACUGCGAGACUAGAGUAAUGGAGGGGGAACCGGAAUUCUCGGUGUAGCAGUGAAAUGCGUAGAUAUCGAGAGGAACACUCGUGGCGAAGGCGGGUUCCUGGACAUUAACUGACGCUGAGGCACGAAGGCCAGGUGAGCGAAAGGGAUUAGAUACCCGUGUAGUC